Molecule: unclassified non-coding RNA, 371 nt
Filed under: Hevea brasiliensis (rubber tree)
Lineage: Eukaryota; Viridiplantae; Streptophyta; Magnoliopsida; Malpighiales; Euphorbiaceae
Source: RNAcentral
AGUUUCUGGUCCUAUUAUCAAAUCAUACCCACAUAAUAAUAGGAUAGGAUUGAACAUUGAAGCAUACAACGCCGCAACCAGAAAAUAGCUUUUCAAUAAUUUGCCUUUAAAUGUCUACAUGUGAGUUGUGACAAUCAGUUAAGACCACGAUAAAUUUGUUUGUUCAAGAUAUUACUCUUCCGAAAUAAGUAACUUUUCACGUUUCAACUAACUCUAAUAAUACAAUAUUUACUCAACAAUCUAGGAGCUAUAUAUCUGAAUAAUUUAUCAAGACAACUCACAGUAAGCCAACUGAACAAAAAUACAUUAGAUUUGGUUUACUAUCAGGCAUUGAUGACUCUUAGCAUUACCUAUCAAGGCCCAAAACUGAG